Molecule: long non-coding RNA, 462 nt
Organism: Balaenoptera acutorostrata (minke whale)
Lineage: Eukaryota; Metazoa; Chordata; Mammalia; Artiodactyla; Balaenopteridae
Exons: 3
Source: RefSeq, a predicted model, not a curated record
GCUAAUGGCAGACUCCGGGAGGGCUCAUGCCAAGGAGUACUUCCCAGAAUUUCUGCUGCCAGUGUCCUUGUCCUCACAGUGAGACACAGCCACCCCCCGCCUCUGCAGGAGACCCUCCAACUGUAGCAGACUACAAGCAGCAAAUUCAAGAUGAAGCCAGAGCCUGCUCCUUAUAGCUGUGAGGCAGGGCAGAGAUAAGAAAAACAGAAAAGCCAGAAAUCUCACAAGCACAGCAGGCUAGAAUAAACUGCAGAAGGCCUCCCACACUCAGCAGGUGCUAGUGAAGUCCAGGAGAGUGAAAUCACUUGUCCGUGGAGGCCGGCUCUGGGCUAAGAAGCCAGGGGGUUUCAUCUGCUGAUGCCUCAGAACCCAGAGCCGCCAGCAGGCAGGGGGUUCUUUCACCAGCUGGGCGCUCAGACUUCUGAACCUCGGGGCCGGACCCGAGAACACCCUCUCAGAUCC